AAAACCCCUUUAACCCGUCUCUGCCACCAUCAGCCACCAGCUGUCUGGAAUGGAGUGAAGUCAGCAGGAAACCACAGAGACGCCACAACUAGCCGCCUUGUGAUCUUCUGCAGUGGGGCCAGGGCACAGGCUUAGGGCCCUGGCAACACCGGGUGAGUGCCAGCAAUGUGUGAGGGUGGGCACCUCAGCCCCCACAGGCUCUUUCCUUGGCCAGUCUGCUCCUCAGCCUCCACUCCAGCUGCCCCUAAAGGUACCAGCCUAAAGGUACCAAGAAGGGCAAGGAGAGGAGAUGCGGAUGCUGGCUAGAGAAGGAUUUCAGGGAUUGGAGAGUUGCAGGGGGUUGUCUGUCGGUCAGUCUCAUUUCUCUGAGAACAAGAGCAACUCAAGAGCUCAUCAGAAAGAGGCAGGAAGCGGGGGAGGAGUUCUCUUUCCAGCUUUUGCGCUGGAGCCAGCAGACUGGCUGGGAGGAGAUGUGGAACUGAGAGGGGGGAAGUAACAGCAGCUGACUUGGCCUCAGACGGAUCAGGGGGGAGGGCCACUAAAGAAAGGUGUGUCUAAGGCCACUGCAGGUACUCUCCAAGCUAGGGAGGGGGGCUACUGCAGAUAUCCUCAAUCUGUGACACCCUGAAGCUCCUUUGCUUGGGCUUCUGGUACAGGGUCUCUGUGGAUGGUUCAGAACGGUUGAGGUUCCCUGUAUACCCACAUUCUGCCCAAAAUGAUUGUGCCUCUGGCUGGGUGAGCUGUCCAGCACAAGGCUCUGGGAACACACUGACUUCCAGACUGCCAGUUACCUGACGGCUGAUCGGACUGUGAUGAAGGAGGUUGGGAAGAGGUAGAUGGGUAGGUCCAAGGUCCAAGCCUGCCCUUGCUCUGACGGGAGUGAGAGCAGGGAGAAAAGAUGACUAAGUCCCUUCCUAUGGAGAUCUCCCCCCAUCCAGGCUCGUCAGGGCGCAUGGGCGGAGGAGGAGACUGGAGGAGAUGGACAGCCACACAGUCCCCAGUUCUCCCCAUCAACCACCAGCCUGCCCUUGGAAGCAUCAAGGUCUGCUCCAUACCACCCGUCCCCCAGCCCCAUGUGUCCUAUGAGGAGAAACAGGCAGUAGUAGCUGGCGAGACUUUGACAAUCAUAGAGAAUCCAACACUAGAAGAGGAAGGGUGGGGAAAAGAGACAAACGUUCGAGUUGAGAAAGUCUGAAUGGGAAGCAAUGUCAAGAGAGAAUGACCCCUCUUCCUCCAGCACAUUACCAAUGCUGCUUGGACUCAGGGACAUCCCCUCCCCCGCCCCAGACUUGUUUAUGAGAUAAGGAACCGAGGGAACAGAUUUGGGCCAGGAUUCCCAGGAGGGCCCAGUCACCCUCCUGCCCUCCCCGCCCUCUCCCACGCCCUCUCCCACGCCUCCCUGUGGUCUGCCCACGCAGAACCGCCGGCCAGCUGCUGUCCUCUACCUCUCCCCGGCAACCAGCCCUCCGACCCGCUUCAGACACACAGACAUCAACAAAGUCACGCUUCCGAGUCACAUGCCCACUGUUUUCCUCCCUCCGGCGGGCGGGCGGGCGGGCAGGGGCUGCGUGGAGGAGGGGCGCCGCGGGUCCGGGGAGCGGUGGGGGGGGGGGCCUUGACAGCGCCCACCUCCCUCCCGGGGACGCCGACCGCCGCGAGAUCCCUGCCCCUUCCACGGCCCCCGGCGGCCUGGCCUGCCGCAGCCCAGUCCCCAGGCCGGUGGGCGCCGGACACUGGCUCGCUCGCUCGCGCACUCACCACAGUGACUGGGGACACCAUGGCGGCGGCGGCGGCGGCAGCGGCUGGCACUCCGCUCCGGGCUGCAGCGGCCAGGACGCGCCCGCGGCCAGGUGAGUAGGCAAAGACGUAACAAAGCCCGGGGUGACGGACAACACCUCCCGCUCGCCGGGCGCUGGGGUUUCUGUCUGCGAUCCCCACGACGUCAUAGCACCCACGGCCAAUGAGCGGCCUGGAGUCGGGGGGCGGGGCGCUAGAGACCCCGCCCCUCUGGGAACCUGUGCCAGGGCAUCCCAGAACGUGACCGUGACCCCCCCAGGCCCUGGACGAGGGCCGAGCUUGACUGAGAGACAAACACAUUCCUGUAGUGUGCACGCGGCCACACACAUCUUCUCCUAACCCUGGGGAUACAAGGCGAUUCCCUCCCGUCUUUAAACAUGCAGUACACACGGACAUAGUUACGAUUAGACCCACAACCUUCACUGCAUACCCACACAUGUCUACAGGACACACAAUGGGCAGGGUACACACAGUCUUCAAGCUGAAAAGAGACACUCAAAUAGGUACACAGCAGCCCAUAGACUCGUAGUCCUAACGUAUAUACAAACAUGUACAGAAUUACAAUUACCUUUAGGCAUCAUACAAGUACUCAGACACAAACCCAGAAACCGCAUUUGGACUCCCAUCCCUCAUGGUAAAAACAGGGACACAUAUACAGGCACGCAGCAGCCUCCGGAGCACCGAUACUUAAUUGCUCUUGGGCACACGCCUCUCAUAGCUCAGAGAAGACAGUAACAUGAGAACAUACCAGAAUGACUUGACAGGCAGACCUGAGCAUACUUAAGGACCCGAAGGAGUAUACUAACUUUCUCAAAAAUCCGGCUUAAGCAAAUUUAAUGUCUGUAUUACACAGACUAAAGGUACACAGGCACAUUUGGAACCAAGUCUCAUCAGAAUCAUGGGAAUUACAUGGGUGGACAGGUCUCACUUGCCCUCUGGCUUCUGACUGAGCUUGGCUCAUGAGAGUCAGAGGCAGAUCUGAAGGUGGAAGGAAAGCAUGGGUGGGGUUCCCCCUCACCAGCUUGCUGGGCUGAGCUGAAGUUCUGGCGAUGGCUGUGCUUCUCCAUGGCUACACCUCCAGGCUCCUGCGCUGGACCUCAGGGAUGGCAACCUCUCCCUGCUGUUGCUGGUCUUUAGGUCACGUCAUGCAGCUGGUAAAGUCUACACUGACAUCCAAGGCGCCUUCAGGACCUGCAGCCCAGCCCCACCUUGUGUAUAUGACUGGAAUGCAUGGAACCGGAUAGGAGCUCACCAAGUAAAGAGAGAAAACCUCAAGCUAUAGUCAUUGGCUCCAGUGCAGGUGUCUAAAGGCCCAGGCUCCAUUCCGGGCUUAGCAAGUCAACUAACCACUGUGAGAAUCCAUGUAAUACCUGUCUGUAGUAAAGAAGAAGAAGGAGGAGGAGAAGAGUGCACAGUAAGUUUCCUUCCCAUCCUUCACCCCCUGCCUCCCUCCCCAGGGAGAACCAUUGUGGAUGGUUUCUUGGAUAUCCUUACAAAAUGUUCAAUUAAUUUAUAAAUCGGUCUCCUCCCUCCCCUCUCCGUUACACACAAACUGGAAAAACUAUGUAUGAUGAUGUUCCUCUUGCUUUAUUCACUUGGCAGAAUAUCCUGGAAUUCUUUCCUCAUCAGUGUAUGUGUGCUGCUCACCAACAGAUGUAUAUACCACAGAUCUACACCAUUAAUUAAAUGGCUGCAUGGUAUCCCGUUACCUUGAUAUGUUACCACGUGUUAAUCAGUCCCCAUUGGGUAGAUAUUUAGGCUGUACUAGGUUUUGGCUAGUACAACAAUGAAUCUCUGUGUAUGAGCAAAGCUGUUUGAUAAAUCCCUAAGAAAGAGCUAAAUCACUGGCUAAAGGCAGCAUGCAUUUUUGAUUUUGAUAUUAAUCCAAAGAUGAUGCAUCAGUCUCCACUCACAUAGUAUUUCCUCACACUUUCACAACACUGUUACUAAUCCUUUUGAUAUUUUUAUUUUUGCCAAUUUGAGAGGUGGGAAACAUCUCAUUAGGUUUAGUCAUUUAAUUAUGAAUGGAUUCAGCCUCCUCUCACGUUUAUUAGUCAUGCAUAAGCUGUUCUUUCUGUGACCUGCCUGUUUCUUCUUUUGUGGUUUGAUUUGAGAUCCUUGGCAGUCACAAGGCCCUUCCCUAGACCUGCUCUCCACACACCUGUAGUUCCUCCCCCUGUCCUGCUCGGUUCUCUACUGCCGCCUAGUGACAGGGGUUGGAUUUACCACAGUUCCUCGCAGAUGCUCUAGUUGCAGGCUCCACGCUGGGGGUUUAACUCCCAGUUGGAAUCAUGCCCUUAGUUCCCAAAUAAAAAAAUCAGGAUCUCUAGUUAAAUAUGAAUUUCAUAUAAAUGACCAAUAACUUUUUGGCUGGUACCUACUUAUUUCUAAAAACUAUGCAUGGUUUAUCUGAAAUCCAAAUUUAACUAGGUGUCAGGUAAUUUAUCAGGCAACCCUAUUCUAAGGCCUCCCGCUAAAUCUGGGUCCCCAUCGUCACCCCGCCUUACCUCCUUUAUUCUUAGCAAGUUCUACUGUGCCACAUUCCAACCUGGCAGUUUUCAAAACUAUGGUUGCAGGUGAUACAUAAAUCACUGUGGUUAAGACCUGGGCUCUGGAUUUGAAUCCUGACUCCGGCCACGUACAAGGUGUGAAAUCUCGUGAAAGUAACAUCUUCUCUGGAGCUCAGGUUUCCUCAUCAAGAGAAUAAUAUUUUCCUCAUUGGGUUGCUUUGAUGAUUUCUGACAUUAAAGCUACCAUUUAUUAAGCACUUUACGUGUGUCAGUUCCUGUUAUUAUAAUUAGAGUAAAAACAAAAACAGCAAUU
Acinonyx jubatus (cheetah) is the source of this 4620-nucleotide long non-coding RNA. RefSeq lists it as uncharacterized. NCBI's taxonomy places the organism in Eukaryota, Metazoa, Chordata, Mammalia, Carnivora, Felidae. The record is from RefSeq and is a predicted model, not a curated record. The transcript has 4 exons.